Molecule: ribosomal RNA, 301 nt
Filed under: uncultured bacterium
Lineage: Bacteria
Description: partial 16S ribosomal RNA
Rfam family: Bacterial small subunit ribosomal RNA
Source: RNAcentral
CAGUAGCCGCGGGAAUACAGAGGGUGCGAGCGUUAAUCGGAUUUACUGGGCGUAAAGCGUGCGUAGGCGGCUAAUUGAGUCGGAUGUGAAAUCCCCGAGCUUAACUUGGGAAUUGCAUUCGAUACUGGUUAGCUAGAGUGUGGGAGAGGAUGGUAUAAUUCCAGGUGUAGCGGUGAAAUGCGUAGAGAUCUGGAGGAAUACCGAUGGCGAAGGCAGCCAUCUGGCCUAACACUGACGCUGAGGUACGAAAGCAUGGGGAGCAAACAGGAUUAGAUACCCCCGUAGUCCCUGUCUCUUAUAC